UGCCGUCUGAAAAGUUUUCUCUUCCGCCAGAAGCCGAAAUAACUUCAUUCCAAA
This 54-nucleotide non-coding RNA is filed under the name Stygamoeba regulata. The record is from RNAcentral. Lineage: Eukaryota; Discosea; Stygamoebida.